This 43896-nucleotide long non-coding RNA is filed under the name Arachis ipaensis. RNAcentral's name for it is "long non-coding RNA (AIPA_LNC001627)". Lineage: Eukaryota; Viridiplantae; Streptophyta; Magnoliopsida; Fabales; Fabaceae. The record is from RNAcentral.
AAUAGUUUGCCUCCUCAGCUUUCCUUGUUAGGAUUUGUUUUUGGUCUAGGUUCUAAUGUGCCAUGAGUUUUUGCUUUCAAUUUUAUCCCAAUACUAAACCGGCUAUUUAAACUUUGGUCUUAAUAUAUACUAUCCUGAGUAGCCUUCUUUUCUUGUGAAACUUGGGCCUCUUUUUUUCUGUUUUCACUUUUUAUUUUUUAAUGUUUUUGGUUUUCAAUUUCAAGAUUUUGUGAAGGGAAAUAUGAAACAAAAGAUAUGAUUUAUCAUUUUCAUUGAAUUCAACUUUUUUUUCUCCAACAAUUUCUAAAAAACAAAGGGGAAAAAAUGAAAUGAAAACAGAUUCCAAUCAGACCUGGGUGCGAUUGAUUUUUGCUCUAUCUAGGUGGAAACUCAGGUGCAGUCGACUUCACGUGAAGUUGAUAGCUGAGAGCUGUUAGAUGGUUUGACUGAUUUGACUAAAUUUUCAUCUAACGGCACUCAGCUAUCUACUUCAUGUGAAGUCGACUGCACCUGAGUUUCCACCCUCUAUCUAUUGCUACUAAUUGUUUUAUCUUUUGCGGUUACCAGUCGCUCCCGAAUAAGUGGAUACUGCAACAUAUCCCUCCACGAACUCAAGACAUUAUAUUGCGCGUGGUUCAUAGCGAAUGGCUUGCAAAAUACAGCUACCAUAACCCUAGAAACACCGGAGGACUGAGCGGAGGGUGGAAACGCUUUACCCUGGACAACAACCUGGAAGAGUACGACGUGUGUGUUUUCAAACCCGGAGGCCUGAUGAACAACACAUUGAUUUUGGAUGUCAACAUUUUCAGAGUUGUUGAGGAGAUUAAACCUUUGACACAAGUGAGAGCUUCAGGAUCAGCCAAAAAGAGUGGUAAGAAAAAGGCCUUAAAGGCCAUCCAAAUAUAAUAGAACCUCUCUUGUUAUCCCAUCUUUGUGGAUAUUUCAUGUUGUCUUGAAUUAGUGUAAUUUGUUGUUGGAAGUGUAAUGUACCUUAAAACAGGUCAGAACUUAGUUGUCUUAUGGGAGAGACCUAGUUCCUCAUGAUGUGUGUAUUGUAUGCUAUUCUCGGAUUGUGUUAACUUCUAUGUGUCUUCUAAUGGUAAUUUAGUGUUAAUCCUCUCUAUUGCAGCACCCUUUGUAGGCCUUUUUAGUCUUUAGGCUCAAUUAAUUACAUAGCAAAUCUUCCUAUCCCUUUCUUAAGUUACAUGUUAUAUUUUUCACUUCUAGAUGAUUCAAAAAUCAUAGUAUUUAUCUAUUUGUAAUAUUUAGGUAGUAUUUUUUCCCCCCUUUCAAUGAUACCCUUAAUGAUCUUAAAUGUGGGACAUUAUUGAUACAAUGGGUUGAGAAGAGUAAUGAAUCUAGUUUUUCUGUAGGGUUAAUUUUGUCUAACAGAAUUUUUAGGAUUUUGACAGAUAAAUUUAACUUAGGAAUCUAUUGUAGAUAAUGGGAAUUGUGAAGGGUUUAGUGUANNNNNNNNNNNNNNNNNUCAUAUGUGUAUCAAUAAAAAACAUUUUAACAUCUCUAACACUUGACACAAGAUCUUAUAUUAAAACAAUAAAUUAUUUACUAUUUUAACUAAUCAUAGAUUUACUAUUAUUAUUUACAACAACAACAAAGCCUUAUCUCACUAGAAGCUUUGUCUCACUAGGUGGGGUCGGCUACAUUAAUCAAACGACGUCAUUGAACUCUGUCAUGUAUUAUGUCUACAGAAAGACCGUUUAUAUGUAGAUCUCGUUUGUCUACCUCAUGGAUGGUCCUUAGGUCUUCUUCUGCCUUUCACCCUUUGUUUAUCUUCCAUUUCAUCCACCCUCCUUAGUGGUAUUCUGUCGGUCUUCUUCUCACAUGCCCAAACCAUCUGAGACGCGAUUCUACCAUCUUUUUCACAAUGGGUGCUACUCUAACUUUCUCCCUUAUAUCUUCGUUCUUUAUUUUAUCCAAUCGUGUAUGACCACUCAUCCAUUUCAACAUCUUCAUCUCUACUAGAUGCACGUAAGAUAUUUAAAACUUUUAACUUUUCGUAAGAUGUUUUCUCCAAUCUUCACCUCUAUAUUAGGGUUUUUCCUUCUCAGACCGAACUUACAUUCCAUAUAUUCUGUCUUGCUACGGUUUAUGCGCAGAUCAUACACUUCUAGAGUUUUUCUCCAUAAGUUCAACUUCUAAUUUAGGUCUUCCCUUGACUUUUCCAUAAGGAUGAUAUCAUUGGCAAAAAACAUGCACCAUGGCACAGGCUCUUGGAUGUGCUCUGUGAGUACUUCCAAGACUAAUGUGAAAAUGUAUGGACUUAAGGAUGAUCCUUGGUGUAAUUCUAUAUCAAUAGGAAAUUUUUCUGUCACACCACCUUGAGUCUUCACACUAGUUGUGAUCCCAUCAUACAUGUCUUUAAUUGCACGAAUAUAUAUGACUCUUUUCUUUUCUAAAACCUUCCAUAAGACCUCCCUUGGCACCCUAUCGUACGCUUUUUCCAAAUCAAUAAAUACCAUAUGUAGAUCACUUUUAUUAUUACGAUACCUCUCAAUCAUCAUUCUUAACAGGUAUAUCGCUUCGGUGGUAGAUUUGCAUGGCAUAAAUUCAAAUUGGUUCUCUGUUAGUGUCUCUUUUCUCAACCUCUGUUUUAUCACCCUCUCCCAUAACUUCAUGGUAUGGCUCAUGAGCUUGAUCUCUCUAUAAUUUCUGCAACUUUGUAUAUUCCCCUUAUUCUUGUAGAUAGGUACCAACGUGCUCUUUCUCCACUCAUCAGACAUCUUUGACCUUAAAAUUUCAUUAAAAAGCUUGGUUAACCAAUUGAUGCAUUUUUCUCCAAGACCCUUCCAAAUCUCAAUCGGGAUAUUAUCAGGUCUUAUCGCCUUGCCAUUUUUCAUCUGCUUUAGAGUCUCUUUUAUCUCGAAGUUUCGAAUCCUUCGAUAGUAGUCAAAGUUUUUUAUCUUCUUUCUUUGUGCAUAACCGACCAAGAUUCGGAAGAGUCUUAUGUCAUUCAUUAAAUAACUCAUAGAAGUAGUUCUUUCACCUUUCAUUAAUCUUCCCUUCUUGAGCCAGCACCUCUCCAUCCUUAUCCUUUAUGCACUUAACCUGAUCCAAAUCUUUCGUUCUUCUUUCACGGCUCUUUGCGAUUCUAUAUAUACAUUUUUUCCUUCUUUCGUGUCCAAAGACUGGUAGAGACUCUCAUAUGUUCUUGUUUUUGCUUCACUUACAGCCACUUUUGUUUCUUUUUUAGCCGCCUUAUAUUUUUCCUAAUUAUCUGCAUUGCGGCAUAAAAAUCACUCUUUAAAGCACUCCCGUUUUAUCUUUAUCUUUUCUUGUACACUCGCAUUCCACUACCAGGACUUUUUGUCUCUUGGUCCUAUCUCUUUAGAUUCACCAUAACUUUCUUUUGCUGUUCUUUUAAUAACUUCUGCCAUCUCCCUCCACAUCUCUUUUGCGCUUCCAUUUCCAUCUCACUUUAUCUCUUCUCCUACCCAUCUUAGAAAACUUCUUUGUUUCUCACCUUUCAUUCGCCACCACCUCGUCCUUGGGUUCUUCGUAUGAUGUCUUUUUCUCAACUCUUGCUCAAUGCGAAAAUUCAUGACGACCAUCCUAUGUUGUAUUGUUAAACUCUCUCCCGGGAUAAUUUUACAAUUAAUGCAAAAUUUUUGAUCGACUCUCCUCAACAAGAAGUUGAUUUGAGAGCUUGUCAUGUCACUCUUAUAGGUUAUAAGAUGUUCGUAUCUCUUUUUAAAACAUGUAUUUGCGAUGAGAAGGUCAAAAAUUGAGAAAAAGUCCAAAAUAGUUUUACCCUCGGCAUUGAUCAUUCUGAAACCACGACCUCCGUGAAUACUUCCAUACCCAGUUACUUCUCUUUCAACGUAGCUAUUUAAAUCUCCUCCUAAGAAAAUCUUAUCUCCCAAAGAUAUGUCUUGGACCAAACUCUCUAGAUUGUCCCAAAACCUUAUCUUGUGUUGUUCGUCCGAACCCACUUGCGAAGCAUAGGUGCUAAUCACAUGAAAAGCACCUUCCUCCACCACAAGUUUGAUAGAGAUGAUCCGAUCUUCUAUUCUCUUGAUAUCCACUACGUCCUUCUUCCCCUGCUUAUCCACAAUAAUAUCAACCUCAUUCCUAUUCUUUACCUUUCCUGUAUACUAAAGUUUGAAUUCGAAAGUAUCCAACUCCCUAACCUUCGCACCAACCCAUUUUGUUUCUUGUAAGCACACAAUGUUAAUCUUCCUCCUUGUCAUUGUGUCCACCACUUCCAUGGAUUUUUCUGUUAGAGUGUUUAUGUUCCAUGUCUCAAAUCUCAACCUUCUGUCGCUCCGACCUUUACCUUUUACUUUGUGAACUAGCUUAUUUACCCUCGUUCAUUCCAAGAAAACGCGGGAACUCUUUCUCAUUUAACACUACAUCCGGGUAUUGAUGCAGCGGCUCUUGCUCACUCGACACUGUACUCGAACCAUACAACGUGUUGCUUCCGGACAACGACCUAGUUUUAGCGCAAUAACGUCUUUAAUUCAUGUCAUGAAGAUUCGACUAAGUUUUUAUGUUGGUUGUCGAUGACCUAACACAACCCUCCUACUUUAUUCGGGUUUAGGACCGGCUAUGUACCGCAAGUGUAACAUUGGCGGAAUUUUAUUAUUAUUUUCUAUCAGCUUAAACUUUUGGGAUGAGUGGUUUCAUGACAUGAUAUGUUUAUUAUCCCUAGUACCCGGAUGGUUAUUUUGUAUAGUAUGAGUGAUGUUUAUUUUUUACUCAUAGCUCAUUGUACACAUUGUACAAAUAUUCCAUUAGUUUGCUAGCGGGAUUCUAUUUAAUUAUAUAUAACUAAAUCCAAUCCAAUCAAAAUAAUCAUCUACAUAAAAAUUAAAAUAACCAUCCGCAUACCUACUAAAAUGAUCAUCCUAAAUUGACAAUUAAAAUAGAAGAAGAAGGAGAUAAAUAAACAGAAAAAGUAACUAUGAGCAUCCAACAAUUUAAUUUUUAUUAAAAAAAGAAAAAUAUAUAAUUUGACACAUGAGUCUUAUGAUUUGAUGUAACUAUAAAAUUGAAGAAACAAAAAAAAAGUUUAAACAGACAAUUGAGUGUUUAAUUUGAUAUUGUCAAACUGGCUGUGAAAGAAUCAUCAGAAAAUCGCAAAAGCAGACAACUUUUUUCCACACCGCUGUCGCCAAUAAGAAGGAGCUUGAUUACGUAAUCGUAAUCUGCACGAGCAUUAGCUGGUGGUGCCGCCAUCGAUGCUUACCACUAAACUUUGAAGGCAGAAAGUGAGAGAAGGGUUAUGGUAUAUCCAAGAAGGAGAGAGAUCGGAUGGAAAGAGAGGAAAGAGGAGGUGUCGGAAAUGGUUAUCUACAAGGAACCAUCUGGUUGAGUAUCGGGAGAGUGGCGUGAAAACAGCGGCUGUGGGCGAAGCGUGUCGGACUAACCGACGGAGGUAGAGGCAGUGUCAGUAAGAGACUGCAGUGGUGUCAGUACCAGAAAAGAUGGCGACAAAUUUUAGUCUUACACAAUUCUAUUGUAAAAUCAUCAACUUAAUAAUUUUUAAAUUAAUUAAUUAUAAUUAAUUUUUCAAAUACUUAAUUACUACACCGUAAAUACUAAUUUUAAUAUAAUUGAUUGCAAAUACAAAGUCUUUGAAUUUAAUGGUUCUUAAAUUAUAAGUUAUUUUUACUCAUAGUUUGAGUUAAUAAACGUUAAAUUGAAAACAAAAAUUUUAUUAAAAAACACUUUUGUGGAAACUAUUUCAAGAAAGAAAAAAAAAAUACUACACCUCAAUAGUAUAAUAUAAAAAGUUAGAAACAUAACUAAUGUGUACAAUGGCUUAUUUGUAUAAUGUGUAUAAUGAGCUAUAUGAGAUGUCUCAUGAUAAGAGUGUUCUAAUACCAUGUCAUAAUACCGCUCAUCCUAGAAGCUUACACUAAUAAAAAAAGAUAACACUAAUGGUGAUAUCUCUAAUCCUCCUUAAAUCUCCAUUAUCCAUACUUUUCCAAAAGUUAUAAUUUAUAAAUGCCUAAUGCAUCAUAUUUUUUAAAUAAUUUAUUAUUAAAAUAACCAAAUUAUUUUAAAUUAACCUCUUAAAUUUUAGAUAAUUAAUUUUAAUUAUAAUAUCAAUUUUAUCUUCUACCAUUACCACCCACUACUCCACUACCCCUAGUCUCUCAGUCUUCUCUCUCCACCGUCGCUGUUGCUAUGUAAUCUCUCUCCACCGAGGCUGCAAUCUGUGACCUCAUUGCCGAUCUCCGCUCCUCUCCGCCGCUGUUGUGGUCUCUGCUCACUCAGUCUCGGUCGCUUCCUCUCUACUCUCUCGCCGCAGGUCAGAUCUCUUCACCGUUCUCCCUCUUCUAGUUUUGUGUGCCUCUCUCGAUAGCUUGAGUUCUGAUUAACUGAUUACUGAAUAUUGAUGACUUGAUCUGUUAAGAAUAUGUAUUAGUUCAAUUUUUAAAUUUCUAAUUUAUUAGAUUAGUUCUGGUUUUGAGAUGAAAAUGACGUGUGUGAUUAAGCUUGGUUAAAUUCAACAGGAGCUCCUCUAUAGCCUUAAUUUGCUUGUGUAUGAUUAAACCUUGUUACUUUGUGAAAAAAUAAAGUAAUUAACAUUCUGGAGCAUUAAUUUGCUUGUCAUUUGAAUUUAAUUAAAGACAAAUGGAAGGAGAUAGGCCUUAGUUUGCUUCUGUUUUGCUUGCCAGUUAGGUUCACUAAUCCAUCUUCAUUAAACACAAUGUAAUAAGUGCCUUGCAUGUAAUUGUUUGCAGUUCUCGAUUUAUAUUUUGUUCCUUUUUUGAAUCUUGACGCACACAAAUGCCUAACAACUUGUGAUACUUGCGCUGUGUAAAAGCAUUUGCUACAUCUUUACAGGUUAUUUUCUUUGAAAUUACUUGCUUUCCUUUGAUCAGCUGUUUUACUAAAUUUGGUCCUUAAUCAGAAUUCAGAAUUGUCAAUAAAAAGGAUGAGUUCAGCUAGGAUUCAGGCAUUCAGCUAAUAUCAGCCAAUUUUUUGAAAUUAUCCUUUUAUCCUAAUUUCUAAAUCUUAAAUCUUAAACCCUAUCUUAAUUCUAAUCCUAAACUCUAAAGUCUACACCCUCCAAAAAAUGAGGGUUUAAAAAAUAAUUUACAAAUAAAAAAAAGUUACCUAAUAUUGGCUAAUUAAAAGUUGAUUCCCUUUUCUUAUUCUCUGUGUUUUGCUAUUUUGGCUGUUCCAGAUUGCAAUUAGGCACCAAAUUCUAUUAAUUUCACAAAAAUGGAGUUGCUGGUUCCACUUGCAUUGCUUGUCAGCGUCUUCCUCAUUUUUCUUCUUUUGUCCCCGCGACAUCCCAAAUCUGGUUACUCUCUUUUCGCCUUUAUAUAUAUGAAAUUUGGUUAAUAUGCUUUAUUAUGGUAUGCGAGUAUCUGAUUUCUUUUGCAUACUUACCAGGGAGUAAAGGAAAAUCAGCUCAGCCUAGCUUAAACAAUCAUAAGGUACAUAUUUGUAGCUAAGUGAAUUAGUGAAGUGCUUUAUUGCUGUGGAUUCUGUUAUUACAUAGAAGUAGAACCCUUAAUUAGUUUAAUGUUGUUAGUGACUUUGUGGUCACUGUCAUUUUGUUAUUAAUUUUCUUUCCUAUGAAGAACAUAAGCCUCUGGGUUUAUUAACUAAGAACGUUAUGGAUCCAGGUGAAACCAAUUGAAUGUGCUAAAUGUCUUGGCUUCAAUUUUUUAUGCAAUUAUUAAUAAGCUAAGCUUGUUUAAGAUUUUCUGUCAUUUGAAGGGUUUUGCAGAAGAGGCAUAAUGUAAUAGCUAAAUCCCACUUUAUCGCCGUACGAUUGUAUGAAUAAAAAUUAGUGUUUAACCAUUUCUUUCUUUAGUUAAUUCUUUAUUUUGUAUUUAUUUAUUUAUUUAUUUAUUUUUUUUGCAAGUUUGAAAUUGAGGAAAAUUAUGAAUUGUGGAACUUGAACUUUUGGGUGAGGUUCUUCUUAACCAGGAUUAUGGAGUGGAACUGUAAUUUUUGAUCCUAUGCUUCACCUACUGAAAUAUAGGUCCCACUUUGAUCUCCAAAGGAGAACUAUCAUUUUUGUAUGUUAUAGUGUGAGCAGAACUUGGUAUGAUAAGAUUAAAAUAGUCUUUCCAUAAGCUUAAUUACACUGGCAACAGUGAAAUAGUUUGAAUGAGCAUGAAUGUUGAACACAUGUUGCAAACUGAAAGGGUUAAAAUUACUUUUAAACAAAAAUAAGUUGAUUUACUUUUCCCCAAAGGUAAAUUUUACGGGGGAAGCGAGUGUGUUUCAAUCACAAUUUUGUGAGUUCUUUAAACACGCUUUAUUUAUUUUUAUCUACUUUUUAGAGCAUUUUGUAUACUCUGUUGUAUCCAGGCAUCAAAGUCGUACACUAAAUCUGAAGUCUCAACGCAUAACAAGAGAACAGAUUGUUGGAUAAUUAUCAAGAACAAGGUAUGUUAUUUUUUUGUUGCUUUAUACUUUCAUUUAUGACUCGGUUCAAAGUUUAAACUCUAAUAGUUUUCUUUCCCACUUCUAGUCUUUUAUUUCCAUUCUGUCCCAUUUAAAGGAUACAUUGUUUCCUAAUAGUAUGAAUUUGGGGUUUCAAUACUCUAGGUAUAUGAUGUUACCUCUUAUGUAGAGGAACAUCCAGGUGGUGAUGCCAUUCUAGCACAUGCUGGAGAUGAUUCAACUGAAGGGUUUUUUGGGUAUGUGCUUAUUCUAUUACAUACAUUUACAUUGUUAUAUAUUUAUAUAUAUUUGGUUUCUUACCGAGUUUUUUCUAAAUUUUCCCUAUAAUAUUUUUCUUGUUUCCUUCUUUGUAUAUACUAGUUAGACCUUUUCUUAUUAUACUUAUAGGUUUGUUGCUUAGAGAAACGUGAAGAGCAUAAAAUAUCUACCCAAAAAUGCUUUUAAUAUUUAUGAAGAGUUAGAUUCUUAUUAUGCAUAUGUAAAGAUCGUGUCCACUUAAAAUUGUGGAUUCAUCAUGCCAUCUUAUUAUUUAAGAAUACUAUAUUGAUAUAUUUAUUGAAGCUGAAGGAGUUUUCUGACAAAGUAGCCAUAGGUAUUAUGCUGGUUUUUCACAUGAUAACAACAAUAAUAAUGUUAGUCAAUAGUUGCAUACAUGAUGACUACAACAAUAAUUGUGGAUAAAAAACAGGAGCCGAGCACCUUUUUAGCUUCAUGAUACACCCUCAGAUAGUCUAUCAGAUUCAAGUUUAGCUCCCUUCCUCUUCAUCCCAGAUAUGUACAUCCAAAUUUUAUCUUUGACAUGCCUUAUACCUAUCAAUAUGGUUAUAACCUAUAAUUAAAUAAGCUUAGAAAAUUUUAUAGGCCACCAUUAUUUGUAUUUUCUAGCAAAGAAUUUUGGUUUUGGCCCUAGGAUGUGAAUGUAUAUUGUUAUGGCACAUACAUAGUACUAUUAGUUAUAGUUCUACAUCCAAGUUAUGACAUACAUAAAUCAUAUGGUUUAAAAGUAGGCCAUCAUGGGUGAAUACUUUUUCGUCAUGCUUAUCUCCUGCUUGAUUCUUUCUCUUUUUGUAUUUGGUCAAAAUACUUGUUUUGGCAGUGAAGGCAAUAAACAUUUAUUCUUUCUAAAAUAUCUUCUCUCAUCACCCUUCAAUGACAGGCCACAGCAUGCAACUCGAGUGUUUGACAUGAUUGAUGACUUUUACAUUGGAGAUUUGGAGCAAUAGUAGCUAUGUUAUUGAUUUAUGGUUUGUGAUAUUCAAGAGAAAUGUCGUUUGAGAUUUUUCAAUUUUUUAUUGCUUGUUACCCCCAAUGAGCAUAGUGUAGCUGAGAUAGUGAUGGCAUAGUGGCUAGGGGGAGAGGGAAACCUAAGAAGAUUUUGAUGAGUUGAUAAGAAGAAAUUUGGGCUGAGUUCAAAUGUGAUUCAUGACAGGGCUUAAUGGCAUUGUUUUGACCAUGUAGUUGACCUCAACUAGCGGGACAAGGUUUUGUUGUUUUUGUUGUUAUCCCCUUACAUUUUGCACUUUUUUGCCGAUCAAUUAUCUUUGUUAGUCAUUAAUUGAAGCAUUUGAACUGUGAAGUAAGCUUAGGCUUUGAUAUCAAUUGUGCAUUAAGUUGGAGAAAUUGAUUGAGAAACAAUGAAUAAGCAUGAGCCCAUAAGAUACUAAGGAUGGAUCUUGUCAUCUUGGAGGAUGUGUAUAGAUUGCAAAGCCAUCAACAAAAUCAUUGUAAAUUGGAAUUAAGAUGAUUUAGUGUGUUAAAAAUGUAAAAUGUCAUUUUUACCCUUCAUUUGAAAACUACAUGUAGAGAUGUUUAGAUGAAUGAUGGAUCUGUUAUGUCUAUAGAAACAUAUACCUAAGUUAGAUGGAGGAUUAAUGAACAAUUAUAAUUAUAAUAGUAUAGUUUUCACUUAAUUUUGUUCAGUUUAAUGCAACAAAUAACUUACAUACCUUAAAUAUUAUUUAUAUUUUAAAAUACCAAUCUUGACUGGUUUGUUUUCUUGGUUUGUACGUAUUUUUGAAAGUUUGAUUUUCUUAUGUUUUCUUGAAGAAAACUACUUUAGUUACAAGUUAUAGAUGAAGGGAUUCACUUAAUUAAAUAAGUUCUGGACAUUGUUCUAUUGCAUAACUUUUCCACUAAUCUAAUUGUUGAAUCUUAUUAUGGUUUUAUAAGGAAAUUUAAUAUCAUAUUAAGGGUUGAUUAAAGGUUCAUCUCUUACAGUAAUAUUUAUUAAGUGCAUUGUUUUCCUUUUUGUCUUCUUUCAAGCUUCACACAUGAUCCUCAUUAUUAAACAAUGCCAAACAGCAAAAAAGAAUGCUAUGAAAGUUUAUGCACCUACAAAUGGAUGUGUAUGUUAUCUCAUAUUGGUCAAUUACUCUCUUGAAUUCUUCUGUUUGUUUGCUUUUCUUUUUCUUUAAAUUCUUUUAUCUAAAAAAUGUUCUCACAAAACUUUGGGCCACCAUAAUUUUGAUCAAAAUGCAAAAGCUUCAUGAACACUUUAUGCAGUACAUCUUAUAUUAUACGUUUGUCCUUUUCUAUGUUUCUCAAAACAGUAAUUAACAAUGUUAAUUUGAUGUCUUUACAAUAUAUUACAUAACUAUUCAAUCGUAUCUAUUGUUUUGGAUAAUUAUUUCUAUGAUAGAUAUAGAAAAUAGUUAUUUUUAUUGAAGUACACAUGUACAAAUUUUUCUUAAACAUAGUGCGUCAAGACUAAAUUUAAAAAAAGUAUAUAAAUGCUUUUUAUUUUAUUUCCAAUAUAAAAAUUGAAAACCAAAAUUGAUUUGGUUUUGUUUGGUAUGUAAUAUAUUAUAUUAUGUGGAUAGAUUUUUCCCUUUUUCAAUGGCCAUGCCAAAGGGAUGAGGGGAAAUUUUAUUACAUUCUGAUUUCCUUUUUUCUUUUAAUUAUUUUGUAAUAUGAUAUGUUGAUUGAUUUGGGGGGUAUAAGUAGUUGGUGUUUAGUGGGUGUUUAUGCUAAGUAAUUUUGUUAGCAAUGUGUGUUUAGAGCUUUUUCCUUGUCACGGUCAAGAAUUCUAUCAACUAUUGAAAGGAGAAAUUACUUCGAUAAAGAUACUAAAAAUGUCUUUUUUUUAAAGAUAUUUACAUAUGUCAUAAUAUUAUUGGACAUUUUUAUUAAACCGAUUAAUAAUUUAUUUUUUAAUAAAUUAGAACAAAAUCGGUUUAUCAUAGCAACAAUAAUAAACCCAAUUGUCUGCACUAUGAUUAUUAGACUCGAUUUGAUCCGAUCGAUUUACACGAUCUAAACAAAUUAUGUUUAAAUUUUUUGAUAAAAAGACAAAUAUAUCUCUAACUUUUGUUUAAAAAAAAAAAAACCCAUAAUCCAGUGGAUUAUGUAAAUUGGUAGGUUUGACCGGAUCUGAUAACAAUUGGAUUUAUUGUUAUUAUUAUAAAAAGAUCGAUUUUAUUUUAAUUUGUUAAGAAAAUUCAAAAAUAACCGAUUCAUUAAUACGUUUAAAAAGACGUUACAAAAAGACGUUUUACACGUCGAGAGGAUCCUCCAUUGAAAAGACCUUAUUAUCUGAAGCCAAAAUAUACUAUAUUUAAUAAUAGAAAAAUAUAUGUUGGCUCAAUAUAAUAAAGAAUUAACUACAAAUAAUACAUCUUGUUUACAUUAACAAUUAUUAUGUGCUACUCUUUCAUUCUAGGAAUUCUUCAAUGGGCCAAAGCGAUUGCUAAAUUGAAACAAUAAUUCUCUUGGCCUUUUCCUUUUCUUCUAUACCUUAGUGGAUCCAGAUUCAUGAUUUUGCUAGGCUAUAAAUUCUUACACUGUGUGAAAGCAAUAAUUAAUUUCUACAAAAAGAAUACAUAUAUAUAAUGUGUAUGGAACAUAAAAACAUGUUAAAAACAAACAUAACAAACGCCAUGGGGUUGGCUUUAUUUUCCUUUGAGCGAAAAGGAACAAACGGUUUUAUUCUUUUUCUGUGUUGGCAUUUUGGUGUUUUAUUUACUCAUGGCAUGACAAUUGACAACACAAUAAGUAAAGGAGAAUAAUAAUUCCUCAAAAUAAUUAAAUUUUGUAACAAAUUAAAGGUCAUUCCAUUAUUAUAGACGAAAUAUGAAUCAUUAUAAGCCUUGAAGACCCAAUCAAUAUAUGAAUAAAAUUUCUUUAAGUUGUUAUUUGUCUAUAGUUGAUCAAUCAAUUGCUGAAUAUAUAAGGUGAAAUUUAAAUUCUAAUACUUGUUUAAAUGAAAAAGAGAAUAAUUAUUCGACUAAUUUAAGUUGAUUUAUUAAUUACGUAAUUUGACCUUAAAAUUUGUUUUGCUAACAUAUAUAUACUGGUAGUAUAUAAAGACAUAAGUGAUUAGUAGUCCUUUACCAAUAUGGGUUACUGAAAUAGUAGGCAAACUCAUUCUCUAAUCUGAUCAAUUCCUAAGAAUAAAAGAAUACUUCUGUUAAAAGAAGUAGUCACAAUUUCUAGAAUCGGAUUAGUAAACAUUCCAAUAACGAAAUCUAUAUAUACGUAAAGUAAAGACUUUAAAAGGGGAAAAAAAACUCAUUUCUUUAAGUUGAUCGGCCUAAAUAAAAUUGACUAAUACAUAAAUAUUAUUCUAUUUUAGUUUUAAAAUUUUUUAAAUAAAUUUAAUGUUGUCUCACUAUUAAAUUUGACACGAACAAUUAACAGAGUGAGUGACAUGGAUGAUAGCAAUAUUUUUAGUUGAGUCAUAUCUUCUUAUUUCUAUGUGUUAGAUAAACAUAACUAAAAUAUUUUUGUAACACUUUAUGUUUUCGUCCUUUUUCUUGUACAAAAUUCCAAAUUUCAAUUAUCAAUCAUUAAUGCUUUAGAAUUAAAUAAAAAGAUUUUACAUUGUUGAUCGUUUUUGUCUUAAUUUUACUUACGUAUUGAAAUCAAACAUUAUUAACUCUUUAAUAUGUUAAUUGUUUAUGUCAAAUUUAAUUAUAAGAUAAUAUUAAACUUAUAUAAAACUUUUUAAAAUUGAAAUAAAAUAUUUAAAAUGUUAAAGACCAAAUUAAAACUUGACUUAAAUGUUAAAAACUAAAAUAAUACUUUAUCCUUUUAAAUAUUAUAUAAUUCAUUCCACAUCAAAUAAUACAAAAGCAUAUAUUCCAAAAAAAAAAAUGCAUUUUUUUAACAAUUUAAGUUAUAAAUGACGUGAUUGAAAAUUUUAUCAAAUAUAAAAACUUAAUUACAAAUUUUUAAAUUAAAAAAUUUAAUUUAAAAUCUUAUAAAAUUAUAAAAACCAACGUAAUAAUUGAACUUACUAUAUACAGUAAUAUAUAAAUUUCACAAAAUGCGAAGAUUUAAAGGGUUAGAGAUAUUAACUACAACUUUAAGAAAAUAAUAAAAAAAUUGGUGAGGUGUCCUAUACAAAUACUGAAUGCUGGCACAUGAUUUUCUGCCUUUAGUGGUCCCUUGAUGACAUAACUAUAUUCGGUAAUGUUUCAGCCACAUUUUCUAUUUUAUUUGCAGCUACAUGAUUUAUAUGGGAUUUUAAUUUAAUUAGCAUCCUUAAUUUUGUAAGAGUAUUGAUACUCUAAUUACUAUAAGAUGAUUUAAUCAAAGGUCUUGAACAUCAUGAACAAAAAAUAUUUUAAAAACUUAUAACAUGGUGAACUUUUUCUUUUCUUUUUACCUCAAACUAAAUAAAACCCGAAACAUUUCUCUAACAUAUUUAGCAGUUUUCAAACAAAAUAAAAAUUAAAAAACACUCUUUUGUGUGAGACCCUAUAUCAAUAAGCGAAGGCUAGAAGAGUUAACUGUCUCUUCAAAUAAACUUGUAAAUAAUUAAGGUAAAAACUCACUUAUGUCUUAAUGUGAAAUUGAUAAUAAUUAAAAAUUAUUAAAUAAUAAUUUAAUUAAAAUUUAUAAAAUUAUUUAAUAUUUUUCAACUAUAAAUUAGUGAAAAUUCACGUACAAUUAAUUUUACGUGAAGUUGAUAAUUGAGAGCCGUUAGAUAAAAAUUUAGUCAAAUCAAUCAAAUUAUUUAACGACUCUCAACUAUCAAUUUUACGUGAGUUUUUACCCUAUUAAUUUCAUAUGAAAACAAUAACUGCACAUAACCAAUAAUAAGAGUAAAGUUUAUCUUCUAGUUACUUGCAACAUUUAUACAGAUUAAUAAAGAAUAAUUUUAAAUCAUGUAAAAAUUAGUCAAUUUCUUUACUAAAAUUUAUUUUAACAAAAGAAAAAUCAAUUUUGAAAAUUAUAAUACAUAUAUAGUAGUUGAGAGUUGGGCAGCCAUAAAUACAUUUUCAAUUUGGUAGCACUUACCAAUGUGUAAUCUGUGCCUUUCUGAAAGGUUGGUUCAUAUGACUAUUGAUCUUUCACAAACCAAGCCUUGUUAAGGUAGACAUUCCUCUUCCUACACCUAUGACAAAUAUUUGCAUUUUUGGAUAUUUCAACAUGCAAUAAUUUUAACUCUUAAUAAGUAUUUGUUGAGUGUAUAAAAGUGCCACCUACUUCACCUGUUCACCAACAUUCGAUUUGAAGAAGGGUCGUAUCCAAAAUUAAAGAUAUAGUAAUUAAGAUACUUGGCAUCGAUAUUAUUAAUUUUGAAUAUGAAUAAUGAGGGUUUCAAAGCCACAUGAACUCGUCAAAAUUCGUACAUGUUUCUGGUGAAAUGAAUAAUUAUAAUCAUGACGUCAGCACUCAGCAGCAGGGGAUAUAUAUAAACGAGCAUGAUGAUGAUGUGGUGUGGUACCUCUUGAAUUUAUUUUCUAAUCAUGCAUUUGAGCUUGAAAGCAAGCUCUUAUUUUAUUAAUGAGUUAUAGUUCAAAGCAUAGUCUUUUUAUAUUUAUUUUGGUAUUUUUUUCUAACUUUUUGAGUUUAUAUUUUUUUAUUAAUUAAAAAAAAAUAGCUAGAAUUAAACAUAUAGAAAAAAAAAAAACUUAAUAUGAAAUUUAACAUAAUAUAUGUUAUAAGAGAAAUUGAAGAUUGAGCUACUAAUUAGAUUUAGAGUAAAGUAUCGUUUUUGUCCUCAACGUUUGGGGUAAAUUCUAUUUGUGUCCCUAACGUUUAAAUCGUCUUAUCUGUAUCCCUAACGUUUGUAAAAGUGAUUCAAUGUUAUCUUGCCGUUAAUUACACAUCAUGAACGCUUUAGUUUGAAUUUUAAAAAUCUCUUCUUGAAGUUAGAAUACAAAUGUCUGGAUAGAAUCGAUCAUCUACCCCGAAAAAUAGCUCAUCAAAAGUUGAAACUAACUCCUACAACAUUUAUAUAAUUCACUUUUCUAGGGACAUAAUUGAAUCUAAACACAAAUAGUGGGUAUAAUAUUAAAAUUGAACACAUUCAAAUGAAACCUAAUUGAGAAUGAAUGCAUCAAAGUGAAAAUAAUUGAAAAAUAUAAUCUGAUUUGUUAGUAUAAUUGAUAGUAGGAUAACAUUGAAUCACUUUUAUAAACGUUAGAGAUACAAAUAGGACGAUUUAAAUGUUAGAGACACAAAUAAGACUUAUCCUAAACGUUGGAGACAAAAACAUAUUUUACUCUUAGAUUUAUAUGCGUCAAUUCACUUCAUUUUGGAUAACUUGUCCUUUUUAUAUACUUAUUCUUUUUAAUUACUGUUUUUAUGUAUUCACUUUCUUUUAAUUCAUUUUUUAUAAAGCAAAAUAAAUUUUUUCUUGCCAUAAAUAAUAUAUAAAUUUGCUGUGAUUUGUGAAAAUGUGAUCAAUGUGUAAGAAAAGGAAGCUAGUUGGCAUUUGAGAUUGAGUUGUAUAAUAGCUAAGUAGGUAUAUUAUAUAGGUCAAUUCUAUGGUGUUUAUAAAUUAUUGUCUAAAUUUUAUUUAACUAAUUUUUUUAAUAAAUUUUAAUUUUUUAAAAAUUAUUUUUUUUAUAUUUUUCUAAUUAAAUAUUAAUUUUUAUUUUUUUAAUAAAUCAAUCAUCAUCUUUUAAACACUAUAGCAUUUACCUAUUAUAAAUAUAUGGGGUUUGAUGAGAUGAGUGGUAUCUAUCUUUUUCUUUUGGAAAGGGAAUUGAAGGGAAGAUAUUGACCUUAGUGAAUCACUUAUUAGUGAAUUAUUAUCUCAUCAUUAAUAAUCAAACUUUGAAUGACUAUUUUCCAUUUGCCAACCCUGCACUUCUUUGCCUAAAAGCUGCCAUACUUUACAAAAAGGCCAAAGCUGUUACAAUUUUUAAUACCAACUCUCUCUCAAAUAUCUUUAUGGGUAAUUCAAACUUUGACUUUUGGAUAGAGUUAUUCUAAUGUAACUCAAAAUUUUGAAUUCAAAAUCUCGAUAUACAUCACCAAGUUAAAAUUUGAAAGAGAGAAUUUAAAUAAUAAUUAAAAUGCCUAAUUAUAUUGAAUUUGAUUUAAAUUGUUUCUAAUAGAAUAAUUAACUCCCAUCUCAUGCAUUUUUAAAUAUAACUUUUUGAAAUAUAAUUUAAUGAAUAUUAUUCAAAAACAUUUCUAUAAAUCUAACUAAUUAAUUAAUAGUAUCCUAGGUUAAAAUUUAAACUUUUCUUCCUAAAUUUUAUCAAUAAAAAAGAGUAUAUAUAUAUUCACAUAUAUCUGCAUGGUUUUAAAACAUUUUAUACAGUCGUUCAAUCACAUUUAUUCUUUUACUUGAUCACUUAGGUGGUCAAUAUAAAAGUCAUUUAUUUUUGCUAACGUGACACUAUAUAAUUUGAUACACAUAUAAAAUUAUUUUACGCUAAGAGUGCAUUAAAAUCGCCAAUGAGUUAUAGCUCAAAUGGCAUAAACUCUCCAUACUCAAUUAAGAGGUUGCGUGUUCGAAUCAUAUAUCUUUCCAAAUUUAAGUCAAGAAGCAAUAGUUCAAAUGGCAUAGUCUCUUCAUACUCAAUUAAGAGGUUGCGGGUUCGAGCCUCCAUAUCUUCGGUAAAAAAAAAAAAAGUGCAUUAAAAUCAAAUUCAUAAUUAAAAAUCUAAUUUUUCUUAAAAUAGUAUGAAUUAAAUUUUAGACCUUUUGUUCUUCAAAUUUCCAAUACUAUAUUAUAAAAUUAUAAAGUCUUAAAUGAAAAUAAUUAAAAUUAUAGUAGUANNNNNNNNNNNNNNNNNNNNNNNNNNNNNNNNNNNNNNNNNNNNNNNUUAUUUGAUGGGGAGUAGCAUGUAAUGUGGUGGAGCACAUGAGCCUAAACGGCGUUGAUUUCGGUGAUUCCUUGCUUUCUUUUUUGUCGUUUUUGGUUUGAUACUCAAAGGGAACAGGGCAGGGAAGAAGGUAGUGAAAAUUAUAACUCAAACUUCGAAGCAAAUUAAAACAAACACAAACACAUGCUUCCUUCUAUGCCCUCUAUUCCCACAUUCACCUAAUAUUCUUCUCACUAUUAGACAACCACCUAUUUUUCUUAUUUAUUUUCUAUCAAAUGUCCUCAAAUCUCGAGCUCUACUCAUUUUUUUGGUUAAACAAAUAUGUAGAUUGAAUACUACUGGUUAUUUCAAAGUUAGAGUACGUCUUUAAUUCUUUUGGAAUUUUAAUAUUUAUAGAAUUAAAUAGUUUUUAUAUAACAGUGAGAAUCAUACUCGUAUUUUUAUGAAAUAUGCACCAAUUCUUAUGUAUCAAAUAAUGUAACAAUCAUCUUUGGCUGGUAAAAUUCAACAUUGUUUUUGUUUUUGGUUUUGUAAGUAUUCUUGUGGAAAUAAAAAUUUUAGUAUUGUUUUUAUGAGUUUAACUUUUAUACUGUUCACAAAGUCAUCUAAUUAGAUCAUUCAUCUAAAUAAUUUUUUAAAUAAUACAUUUAAAAUUUAGUUACUUUCUUUUUUUUUUUUUUUUACGAUAUCUUCUAAUUCUCAUAGGCUGGUGACUAAUUUGAAAAAAAUAAUGCUAGGGAACUAAAAAGGUAUUAGCCAAAAACCAGCCAAAAUAUCUUUGGGUGAAUCCAAAAUCUCUACGAGUUAAUAUAUAUAGAUGUUUCUUCUGCUAAGUAUCAGAAUAUUUCUUUUUCAUACUAAAUUGAUGUUCUUUUAUAUAUUUUUCGAAUUUUUUUGUAUUGCAAAUGUGAAUGUCUCUAUUUCUUUAAGAAUUUCAUUUUUUUUUAAUUUUAUAGAUAUUUAAUUAUUUUUGCUAAAAUAUAACUAGAUAUUUCUUUUGUUAAGUAUUAGGAUAUUUUUUUCAUAUUAAAUGAAUAUUUUUUUAUAUUUCACACAAAUUGCCACUAAUUAUUUUUCUAAAGCUUUGACAUUUCGGAUCUGCAGCGAGGAAGUUCAAGAGGGAAUUCCAGCGGUGCUGAUAGAGUGUUGAACCAACUACUAGCAGAGAUGGAUGGAAUGUCUGUUAAGAAAAACAGUGCUCAUCAUUGGAGCAACAAACAGACCUGGCAUUAUAGACCCUGCAUUGCUUCGGUUAGGACGUCUUGACCAAUUGAUAUACAUUCCUUUAAAGCAAUCGGAGGAAUGGGUCGCGGUGGGGAGGCGGAGAGAGCCUGACGGUGAGAGAGAGAGGUCUGUAUGUAUGAUUGUUGGAGGUGGGUAGGUUAAUGUGAAAGAGAAGAGGAAGAUUUUUAUAGGUUUUAAUUAGGUUUACUUAAUCAAUUUUAAAUUUUUUAAAUUUUGAAUUUAAAAAAUUUAAAAUUAAUUAUUAAUAUAAAUUAAUGUGAUUUUGUUUAGUUUUUGGCUGGUAACCUCUUGGUUCCAUAUACUUUUCUAUUUGAAAAUAUUCAAAUUCGUUAUACUUAUUUAAGUAGAUGAAUGAACUAACUAUUCAAUCAAUCCGGAUUAGUUAGUUAUUACUUUUUGCUAAUAUCUUACCUAAAGUUAUUUAUUAAGGAGGAUGCUUCCAUAAAGACGCUUAAAACUACGGAUGUACAUGGGCCGGGCCACACCGGGGUUGGUUUAAUUCAAAUCCGGCCCGAAAUAUAGAUAGGGCCUAAUUUUUAGACCCUAACCCGAUCUUAGACCCGAUGAAACCUAUGCACCUUCGGGCCGGGUGAAAAUCGGGUAAAAACCGGAUGAAAAUCGGGCCUUUAGCAUGUAAAAAUCACCUAAUCUCCAACCAUUAUUUCACAAUUCACAUAGUAAAAUUUACUUUAAAAAAUAUAACAAGAACCAACCCUUCUCUAAAAUUAAAGCAUAACUAUAAUCAAUACUAAUAUUGUCUAAUAACACCAAAUAUUUAAAUCAAUACAAAUAACACAAUAUUAUGCAUUAGUCUAAAGUCUUAUGCAUUUUAAACAUAAAAUAUUAACUUUUAAUCUUAUAAUGACUAAUAACACAAAAUAUUAAGGUUUACAAUAUUUAAAUUCCACAUAAGAAUAGCCAUCAUCCAUCACUAAUAGCACAAAAUAUUAAUUGUGUAUGAUGACCGGGCCAUCAGAUCGAGUUCGGAUGACCCGAGCUAUGGUUCGGGCCCGAUUCGAAAUAAUGACCGGGUCUAUUUUUGAUACCUUUACCCGGCCCUAGACCCAGGGGCGGAGCUAACCUCAAUGUGAGGGAGGGGCCAAAAAAAUUAAUUUUAUAUUUAAAAUAAAACAUUUAGGGGGCUAAAUUAAAUUUUAUGUAUAAUUUAUAGAGAAAAAUUGAGGGUUGGGGGAGGCCAUUGCCCCCUUACCUUCUAUGUGGCUCCGCCCUUGUCUAGACCCGAUGAAAUCACACUAAAUUAGUCCUUAAAGUGUUCGGGAUUGGACCGGGUCAUGUGCACCCCUAUUUAAAACGUCUUUUUGUAAAGACGUUUACGUGCCGAUUAUUAUUUGACGUAUUAAUGAACCGGUUAUUUUUUAAUUUCUUAACAAAUUAUAAUAAAAUUGAUUUUUUUUAUUACAAUAACAAUAAACCUGUUUUUUUUAGGGAUCUAAUUGUAUUUUUAAAUUUUUAGGAAUUCAAAUGUCUGUAAAAAAUUUAAAGAUAUAUUUGUCUUUAAACCCUAAACCCUAAACGCUAAACCUAAAACAAAAAGUCAGAGAUAUAUUUGUCUUUUUAUCAAAAAAUUUAAAGAUAUUCGAUUUAGAUUGUGUAAUUCGAUCGGAUCAAAUCGGGUCUAAUAAUUAUAAUGCAGACAAUUGAGUUUAUUAUUGUUGCUAUAAUAUACUGAUUUUGUUCUGAUUUAUUAAAAAAUAAAUUAUAUAUUAACCGAUUUAAUAAAGAUGUCCAAUAAUAACAUACAUAACAUAUAUAAAUAUUAAAAAAAAAAGACAUUUUUAAUGUCUUUAUUAAAGUGGUCUCCAUUUAUUAAAUAAAAAAAUCAUUAGCUUAUCAUGUUUAUUAAUUAUUUAUUUGUGUAACUUAAAUUGUAUGCGAUGCAAAUUAUUACCUUUUUUGGGUAAAGUAAAAUUAUGAAAUUUAUAGUGUAGAAUUUAUCAUUUAAUUCUCGUGUAAUGUUUUUUUCAUGCUAUCAUGAUGGAAAUCAAUGUCAUACGCCAAAAUCAUAUGGUUUGGAAGAUUCAGAAAUAUAUAUAAAGAUGCAUGUUAGAUCAUAGAUGUGACUCUAAGUUAAUAUAAAGGGGCAAAUCGAACUUUUGUCAUGAUGAAGUUUGAUUGAAUAAAAAAAGGAAAUGGCACUCAAGUAUAAGAAUAAUAUUCACUAGAGAUCAAUGCAAAAUCAAACAGAAUGAUGAAAACUCACAUGUAUAAUUCUUUUCAGAAGAUCACAUUGUACAUUUUUCUUCAACUUUUAGAAUCAAACUUGCAUGUGAUCCAAAAUUCAAGAUCUUUUUUCUCUUUACAUAAUAUACACACCAUCUAUAUGUUCUUUCUUUUUCUCUAUUCUUCUAAUUUUGUUUGAUUGCAAGAACUACUGAUAUAAAAGUAUUUAAUAUAUUAACAUAAAAUUACUUAUGGUAAAGUAUGCUUNNNNNNNNNNNNNNNNNNNNNNNNNNNNNNNNNNNNNNNNNNNNNNNNNNAAGUUCUCAACUCUAAAUCUCAAAUCUUUCAAAAAAUAACAAUUACAAAAAUAAUUUUACAAAACAAACAAAUUAAUUAAAUAGCAACUAACUAAAAAUUAAUUUUCUAUAAUUAUUCAUAUCAACAAUACACAUCAAAUUCAAAUUUUGUACGACAAUAGAUAUAUAUUCACUUAGUUAAAUCCCUUUUUUUUUUGUCUUGAUGGAAUUAAUUUUGAUGAUGAAGUUGGGCUAGCCAGUGGUGCACCACCUCAUCACAUGUCUUGCUUGGUGGAGAUACAAAUGAAUGAAACUUGGAUCUGAUAUGCAUAUGAGUCAGGUUGGCCAAAUAUAGUGAAACAUAAGCAUCAUAAGGUCAAUGAGAUAAAUAGUAAUUAAUUUAACUAUACCUUAUACAAUGCAAUAUGUAACACCAUGUCUCUUCUUCCUUCAAUUGCACUUAUAUUUACUGCUCAAUCAUACAUCCAUGUUCAACAAAUCUUAUUAAUAUUCAAAUGGGAAAGGGGAAAAAAUAAUAUUUAUGUAUGUAUUUAUAACAAAAUAUACAUAUGUAUUCUUAGAGUUAAAGAAAAAAUACUUGAUUUUCUUCAUGAAAAAUCUAAUUAUAUAUUAUUGCAUUAGUAAAAUUUUUUGUAACAAAAAAAAAUUAACAAAAAAUAACCAUAACUUAUUUUAUUUAAUAUUUAUUAAUUAUUAUGAUAAUUAAUAAAUACUAAAUAAAUUUUGAAUGAUUUUUUUUCUCUCUAACAUUACCGAUAUAUAACAUAGUCGAUACAAAAGAGUAAUGUUAGGUAGACAAAAGAAAUAGUGAAAACUUGCCUUAUUUAGUAUUAAUUAAUUAUCGCAGAGUCAUACAUGCAUAAAACAAAAAUAUAGUUGUUGCUUAUUGUAACGUAAAGUUAAUUAUAAGGUAAUUAAUGGCAAGUUGUUUUAAUUAAAUAAUUAAUUAGAAGAAUAAGAAGAAAAGAGCAAGAGGGGUUAGUUCUUGUAAGUAAGACAAACACAUGGAAUAUUUAUCUCUCCAUAGAACGACAUGUUGACCGGAUAUUCCCCCUGAUCACAAGCUUAUUGUUGAAAAUUGUUCAUAACACAAAAUAUAAUUAAUGAAUUUAAUUAACUAUAUAUAAUUAAUUAAGAUAGUAUAAAUAAAUAAACAAAAGCAAAGUUACAUUUCCCGGAGAAUCUAGAGCGCAUCAGGCGCUGACCAUGGCUUCGGAAUCUAUUAACAAAUGGGUUGGUUUUAUUUAAUUAAUUAUUAUGAUAAUGUGGCUAAGCUAUGAUCUUGUUGUCACAUUAUUAAUCAACAUACAUAUAAAAACAAAAUAAGAAAGGGUUAGGAGGAUUAAGGCAUGGGGUAACGAGCAUAAUUGAAACAUACAAUACGCCAUAAAUGCACAAUGUUAUAAUAUAAUGUUUUUAUUAAUAUAUUAUAGCCAUGAGCAAAAGAAAAAUGAUAUUGUAUAGUCAUAGGGACAAGAGAAUAUAAAUGAGAACAAAAGAAGAGAACAAAGAAAAGUUAGAGUAUUAUGACCUAGACAUGGUCACGCCCAUAAGUCACGUGAGGGAAGCCAUGUUGACGCCGAGGAAUAUGGUAAUGCCAUUGCCAAAUUCGUCGUAUUCCAAUACCUGAAAAUUCAUGUGCAGUCGACUUCAGUGAAAUUGAUAACUGAGAGUUAUUAGAUAAUUUAAUUGAUUUGACUAAAUUUUCAUCUAACGGCUCUCAGCUAUCAACUUAUGUAAAGUCGACUGCACCUGAAUUUUCACCAUUUCAAUAUAUGUAAUUCUUUUCUNUCUCCUAAUUGGCGCUUGCUUCAAGAAUUGAUCCAAAGUUCUCUAUGAUGAGAUUGUAUAAUUUUAAUUCUUAUCAAUACACCAACUUUUUUAUAAGUAUUUUAUUUUACAAGUUUUGGUAUGUUUUAUAUAAUUAUAUAUUCUAAAUUAUCAUGCUAAAGAAUUUGCUGAUUUCUAAAAAACUCAUUUUAUUUUUUGUGGUUUUGAAUAAAGUAAUAAAUAACAACAAAAUAAAUCUAUUUUUUUUUUAUGUCUAGAUAUUAGGAGAGUAUUCAUCAUUUCUCAUUUUCUUUAUAUAGUAAAACUUUUUAUACUAGCUUUUUUAAUUGAGUGGAGAUUUAAUUUCAUUUAGAAGAGUACACAAAAAAAAAACAUGUUCAAUUUUUCUUUAAUUUGAUUGAUAUAUAUGAGUUAGAUUCUCAUUAUUAAUAUAUAUAGGAGACUUUAAUGGUAGGUAAUUUUCUAACUCUCUUGUCAAUGUUCCUUUUUUUAAAAUAGUAAAAUAAAAUAAUAUGCCCUAAUCUUAGAAAGAUGAUAGAUAAUUAUUUAAUAUAAUACCAUUUUAACCAUAAAAACAAUGGAUUAACUUAUUUUAAGGGAGAGUGUAUAAUAUAAGAUAUAUAUGCAAUUGGGGUUGGAAAUAAAUGAGUAGACGACAGGUGAAUUGGAGGUGUAUUUUAAUUUUAAAUAUUUUUAUGUGCUAAUUUUUCGUUGGUAAUUAUUGAUUUUUUUUUUGUUUAUUUGCCCCCCCUAAUAACAAUCCUACUAAUUAGACAAAUAGGUAGCGUUGAAAUUCUUAAUGUAUAACACCUUGGAACCUGAGAGGAACAAACAACUAACACAACACCUACUUCUACCAAUUCCCACUUGCACUUUAUUAUUUUCCUUUUUCACAAUAACCCACACUAUAUACCUACUACUACUAUACAAUUAAGUAUCAAUUUGAAUAAAUAAGUAGUACUAUUCACAAGAUAGAAUUAUUCUAGGAUACAAUAAUUGAGCUGUAUAAUAUAUAUAUUAUACUAGCUACCAUUAAUAUUAAUUUUAUUGAAAGUGUCACUUGAAAGAAAGCAUAUAAAGUGUUCAAAUUAAAGCUAUGAAAUAAUUUUUUUUGUUUUUUGUAUUUAUGGUAUAUAUAUAUAUAUAUAUAUAUAUUAUUAAUACAAAAAAAUAUAAAAUGUCUUAUAUAAUUAAAAAUAAUUAUCUUGUUUAUUUUAAUAUUAAUAAAAUAUUAAAAUAUUAUUAUAAUAUUUUUAAAAAGUUUUUUUUCUUUUAUACAUUAUCCAAUAUCUAACAAAAAUUUAAAAUUAAUACAUCCGUAUAUCUAUGUUAUAUCAUAUAAUGUCCCGUAUACAUAUCACUAUCCUAAUAUCAUAGUUAGUUCAAAUUAUGAUAAUAUAUUAAUAUAUUACUUCAUCAACAUACUUUUUGAAUAAUUUGACUGGAUUCCAUCAAAGUUAUUGUCAUGGGAAGAGGGUGUAUGUUUAUUUAUUAGGAUUAUAUAUAGCGCAGUAUUAUAUAUUGUUCACGGAUGGUAAAAAUGAAAUUUUGGGAAACAUGAUUGUUUAACUAAGAGCAAAUAAACAAUUAUAUAAAAUAGAAUAAAGUGACAAAUAAAUUUUUAAAAAUUUAUAUUUCGAAUAGAUCAGUUUCUAAAGAAAAAAAAGUAUGACUUUAAAAAAUUUUAUUAAUUUUUUAAAAAAAAAAUUAUUUAAAGUGUAAAUUUUCAAAAAAUUAUUUGUCAUUAUAAGUUUUGAAAAAAAAAAACAUAGGGAUGCAUAGGUUUGGAAAAUUAUCUUAUAGUUGGGAUGGUUUUUAAUUCCCACGUGUACAGCUCGACCUCAUCAAUAGUUAUAUUUGUCCUGAAAAUAAUAAUUAUAUAUGUAACGAGAAUAUUUGGUCUCUCUCAAAAGAAUUUUAUAAAAACUUUGGUGAUACAUAUAUUUUUUAUUUUUUUAAAAUAUCUCUUCAAUAAUUUUCUAGUUGAAAAUGAAAACUAGAUAUAAAAGUUUUUUUGUUCAAACAAAAUGAUUAGUUAGAGUUGGACUUGACCACUAGGGGUGAUUAAAUUUUAGGCUAUUUAUUAAUUUAAUUUAAGGAUAUAAUUUAUUAGAAUUUCUUAAUUAAGUACAAUUGCACGGCAAGAGAAAAAAAAAAUAAAAAAAAAGGGAGUAUGAAAUAUUAAUGGAGAUUUGGUCUAACGGAAAAUGACUAGCUAGCCUCUCUGUGUUUGUGUCAUGAAUUAUAUUUUGACUUUUAGCUGAGAGAGGUUUUCACAUUACUAUUUGACCGUUUCUUCUCAAUGGAAUAUAUAACUGUAAAAAACCAAGAAAGAUAACAUAAAAUAAUUAAUAUUUUUAUUCAUUAUUUGACGUCUCAACUAUUCUCAUUCAAAUAUAUAUAUUAUUUCACUUGAAAGACUCUUUUAAUUUGAGUAUUAAAGUCUCUUUUCAAAUACUUUAAAUCCUGUAGAGAUACCAACGCAGAACAAAUAAAUUUAUCAUAAUCUCGUGUUUGUGUUCUACUAUUAAUUAGGAGAGGUAACCCAAUAAUUUUUUUUUUUUGUCUCUUACAUUACAAAAAAAAAAAUAUUAUAUUAAUAAUUUUUUCUCUAAAAUAGAAAAAUAUAAAUGCGGCGAGAUAAACACAACAGUUUACCCGUUAGAUAGUAUAUAGCAAAAAAAGUUUUGGAAAUUUCGGGGAAAAAAAUGAAAAUUUGUCUUUUCUUGUUACUGCUAGUCAUUAACAAAACUGUAAAUAAAAUUAGAACAAGAUAUUUAAUUUCCAUAUUACUAUUUCUAGAAGAAUGGUACUAUAUCUCUUAAUUUGUGAUGACGUUGGAAAAUACUACAUUCAUUCAUGAGGUUAAUGCAAAAUUUUUCCUUUUACCAAAAAAUUCUACUACCUAAAACAAAAUUAUCAUUAAUUUUUUUAAAAUUAUCAUAAAAUCGUUUAUUCAAAAAAUUUAAAGUAAUUAAAAAAGAUAUAUAAAUAUAAUUAUAUCUNNNNNNNNNNNNNNNNNNNNNNNNNNNNNNNNNNNNNNNNNNNNNNNNNNNNNNNNNNNNNNNNNNNNNNNNNNNNNNNNNNNNNNNNNNNNNNNNNNNNNNNNNNNNNNNNNNNNNNNNNNNNNNNNNNNNNNNNNNNNNNNNNNNNNNNNNNNNNNNNNNNNNNNNNNNNNNNNNNNNNNNNNNNNNNNNNNNNNNNNNNNNNNNNNNNNNNNNNNNNNNNNNNNNNNNNNNNNNNNNNNNNNNNNNNNNNNNNNNNNNNNNNNNNNNNNCUUCGUUGCGUCUCCUUGCUCCGGUGUGUCUCUCGUCGUCGCAUCCUCGUUCGUCGCUGCUGUCACAUCUGGCCAGAGUCUGCUUCGCCGUGCUUUGACAUGUUGGUUUUUUCUCUUCUUUGCGUUCUUGAAACUCCCUAUCAGUUUUUUGAAGUUAUUCAGUUGGCUUAUAAUUUUAUUACAAUCAAGGAGGCGAUGCUGCUUGGGAGGCGCGAUGAGAACGAAGGAAUAGGGGAGGAGCGAAAAGUCAAAUGCCAUUACAGAGAGUUAGAAUACAUCUUCUGUAAAUAAUUUGAAAAAAAAAAGUCAUGUUUCAAUUUUUAAUACUUUAAAAAAUUACAUAAUUACUCAUUUUAAUAAUUAAUUUAAUUAUAAAAUAAUCUAAUCAUGAUUAAUCUAAUAACCAAUUAAAAAAUAACACAUCACAUAGAAUAAAUUACAUAUUACUUUACAGAAAAUAUGGUAGAAUUUACCAUUUAUAUAACUACUGUUCAAAAAUUUAUGUCGAUAAAAAAAUACAUAAAUAAUUAUAUAAAACAAAAACUAUAUUUGAUGGCUAUAUAGGCACAGUCCUUGGUGGUUAUGUACUAAAAUGGACAUUGGUCAAGGUAUUCCAGAGCUAUAUGUUUAAGAGAAGGUUGAUGAAGUGUGAUUAAUGGAGAGGGUGAGGGUCAUGAUCAGGGUUUAGAACAGGGAUAUUUUGGCCCUGCCACUCAAUCCUCCUUCAUAAAUACAAAUGGAGAGAAUAUUCCAAUUCAAGAAAAAUACAUUUUAUUAAUUAAAUUUUUUUUAAAAAGGAGAAGAAUAGGAACAAAAAGAGGGCAGGGAAUUUUAAUGGGUCACAAUCCAUCAACAUUAAACCAUAGAAACUCAAUUCCCAUCCCAAUAUUCCAUUGAAUAGUACCCUUUUUGGCUUUAUUCUCCAAUUCCAACCAUAGUCCUUGCAGCAACCAUUUAUAUCUUUCUGCUAGCUAACUGCACUCUCAUUUUUCAAUUUAAUGCAUUCAAAAUUAUAAUAUUAAAUUUUCCUGUACUUUCAAUAAAAUUAGUAAAAUAAAAAUAAAUUAAAUUAAUGGCUCUCUUAAAUAAAAUUAAUAAGGUCAACUUUUUUUUCUAUCCUAGUCACUUAUAUUGGUAACUAUUUUAUAUAUUAGAUCUCAAUUAGUAUGAGUCAAAUUAAAUUAAAUAAGAUGUGUGAAAUGUUAUAUAUAAGAUAAUGCAAAAUUUUAGAUCUCAAAUUUUUUAGUUCACAUCUAUAUGCACUCCUUUAUAUAAAAUGUUAAAUUUGGAGUAAAUUCCCAUAUUUAUUCCUUAACAAAAUUAGAUUUUUAAUUAUUUAAUUUUAGUUUUUAAAAUUUAAAAAAUUAGGAUUAACAAUUAAAUACAUUCACGUUACGUACUAUUACUUCUAAUUCUACCAUAACCUCUCAAUCUCUGAUCCUCACCCAAAACUCGCCGUAGUGCCGGAAACGGCCAUUCCAAUGCAUCAUAAUGCCCCUAGGGAUGUCAAUGGGGCAGGGCGGGGGCGGGGGAUGCCUCCCUGCUCCCCAUUCCCGCCCUCAGAUUUGCUCCCCAUCCCCGCCCCAUUCCCCGCCGUGGGGGAAUAUUGCUCCCCAUCCCCAUUCCUCACGGGACCCCAUUCCCCGCGGGGACCCCAUUCCCCAUCUACAUAAUAGUUCUAACUAAUUAUUAAUUUCCAUAUGAAUAGAGCUGCAAGUAUCUAUCUUAUACAAAAACUGCAAGAUUUUAUACAAAAAGUCUAAAUGAUACGAUGGUGACUUCUCUCGAAAUAACGCAAUAGGGGGACGCAACGACGAGUCAAAGGACAAAGCAGUGGACGAGGUAAGAGACGUGGCAACAGAGAGGAGAAUGGACACGACAGCAGAGUUAUGAAAAAGAACGUUGCAAAUAGAAAUUACGACGCGAUAAGGGUGAUGGCACGGUGAGGUGUGACGAUUCGGUGAGAAUAGUGACGAGGGGGUGGCUGCAGAGAGGUUAGAUGGAGUAUGGACAGCCUUAGGGAUCUCUGAAUUGAAGAAGGGUUAUGCAAAUAAAGAUUAGGAGUUUUGGGUUUCUAUAUAUGUGUAUGUGAGAAAUGACUAAAAAACAUAUAAGAGAAAUAAACUAUUAAGGAUAAUUUAAGGAAUUCAUAAAUUUCGGGGAAUAGUGGGGACGGGGCGGGGAUCCCCGCUCGGGUCCCCACGCCUGCUUCGGGGGAAUUUUGUCCCCCAUCCCCAUCCCCGCGGGGAAAAUUCCCCACAAUCGGAUCCCCAUUCGGGGCAGUCCCCGCAGGGAUCCCCGCGUCUCGGGGAAUUUUGCCAUCCCUAAAUGCCCCUGUUUGUGCACGCUGCUGCACCCCACGCCAAUACCGCCACAGCCUAACCGCGUGCCGCUAUCCCUCCGCAGCCCGUGCAGAAGAGAACCAAUUCCGUCCAAUUGGCUUAGCGUAAUAAUAAUAAUAAUAAUAAUAAUAAUGCCAAGAAGCAAUAGUUCAAAUGGCAUAGUCUUCUCAUAUUCAAUUAAGAGGUUGCGGAUUCGAGUCUCCAUAUUUUUUGUUAAAAAAAAAAAUAAUAAUAAUAAUAUAUUGUGAUUUUGAGAAAUUAUUUUGUUAUAUAUACAUAAUAUGUAAUAAUUUGUUUUUUAUGAGAAGGGGUACUGUAGUUUACUACUACUACUAAAUCUAGAAGUAUGAAACAAAAAAUCUUGGAAUUAAAUUACACCUGCAGUGUACUAUAUUACAGAUAAGGGAAAAUGGACCUUAAGGCAAUAGCCUCUCCUUUUCUCUCACUCCAUUAUCUUUCUCCUCUUUCUCUUUCUUCUUUCUCUAUCUCUGCAUUCAUACAUAUGCUACUUUCAACACUAAUCCCUCACCUUCCACAAAUAAACUCACUACUACUUCUCUUCCUCUUUAUUAACAUGCUUUAAUUCAUUUAUGCACUCCUUUCUUUCAAGUUUCAACCCUAUAUAUCUAGACUCACUUGAAUCCUUCAAAAGCCUAUCUUUUUCUCUCCAAAACCAAUGCAAAUCAUCAUUCACUCAUCAUCAUAUAAUCAAUUCAACUUUCAACCAUUCUUACUAUAUUUACUUCAUCAUCAUUUUUACUUUUUUAAAUUCCUAUUAAUUAAUUAAUUAAUUAACUACUCUCUCUCUCAUCCCCCCUUUUUUUUCCUCUUUUAAUUUGUGUUGUUUAAUUUAUAUCUCUAUAUAUAAUUAUUACCACUUCAUAUAUACACUUAUUAGUUCUCUAACAAACCUAGCAAGUAGAGAUCUUUCUCUCUAUUAUUCUCUCUUUUUUUUUUCUAUUAGCAUCUUGAAUUAUUGUUCUUCAUGUUGACAAAUUCUCUUCCAUCAAUAAUGCAAACCUUGUUAGCAUCAUCACCCCCUAAAUUUCAAGGACCAGAUUUGUCCUUAAACAUAAGCCCUCCAUGUGUUGGUGUUUCAGAUUCCGAAAACAACAACAACCUCAACAACAACAACAUGAACAUGAACAUGUUCCUAAGUAGUAGGAAGAAAAUUCUUUACAAUGAUAUAAGUACUAGUUCAACUACUUCAGAUUCAGGUGGUAGUAGUUGUGGAAGUGCAAGUGACUUAAGCCAUGAAAACAACAACCUCAACCUUCUUCAUCAUGAACCUACAUUGACCUUAGAUUUGAAUAAUUACCAUCAUCAUCAUCAAGGACUUUCUAGAAGCUUUAACAAUCACCACCAUUUCCAACCUCAAAUCUAUGGCCGCGAGUUCAAGAGAAGCUCCAGGGUCAUUAAUGGAGUCAAGAGGAGCGUGAGAGCACCUAGGAUGAGAUGGACAACAACCCUCCAUGCCCAUUUUGUUCAUGCUGUUCAACUCCUUGGUGGCCAUGAAAGUAAGUAAUAAUUUCAUCAUCAUCAUCAUCAUCAUUAUUAUUAUUAUUAUUAUUAUUAUUAUUAUUAUUAUUAUUAUUAUUAUUAUUUGUGGGGAAAAAAUGAUGCCAUGUUAUCAUUGAUAAAUUUUACACACGAUCUACUCAAUUUUUUGUUGUUGUCUACGGUAUCCUCCAAUCCGACGUACCAAGGACUAAUCCGUCAUGGAUUGGAGCUCCAUUUAAAAAUCUGCCGCUGGACAAAUAAAUUGCUAUAUGCACAAGAUAAAAAAAUAUAAUCUCUUAUAUAUAAUCUUUUUUUUCUUCUUAUUAUAAAUAUAACAAAAAAAUAUAAUAAUAAUACGUUUUUAGAUCAAUACUUGAUUUACAGAUGUACUAGAUAAAGAAAAAAAGAAAAUAAAGAUAUAGUUUCAUCUUUGAUGUUAAUAAGGUUAUUAGUUCUCCAUAUAUAAGAUGAAACUUUUUGAGGGGGUUUGUGAUGUCAACAUUAUUGUAUUAUUGCAGGGGCAACACCAAAGUCAGUUUUAGAGUUAAUGAAUGUUAAGGAUCUAACCCUAGCACACGUCAAAAGUCACUUACAGGUAUAUAUAUAUGUGUGGCCUUCACUAUUCCCAUAUCUCCAUUGUCUAUCUCCAUUGUUUUUCUUUCUUUCUUUCUUAUUAUGAUGAUGAGCUAUGUAUCCGUAUUUUUCCUCUUUUUGAUUUUCAAAUUUAGACACAAAUGAAAAUUGAAAAGAAAAAGGGACUAUAUUGUUUGUUGUUUUGGUUAGUUGCCUCCAGUAGUGGGCAAGGUAUAGAAACAAGGACUAAGGACAAAAGGGUAUCUAGAUGGGAAAUCUAAUAAUCUUAACCCUCUGGAAACUUUUUAUUUCUUCUCAUAUUUUACUUUUUUUUUAAUUUAACUUGAUAAAAUAGUUGCUUGAAUANNNNNNNNNNNNNNNNNNNNNNNNNNNNNNNNNNNNNNNNNNNNNNNNNNNNNNNNNNNNNNNNNNNNNNNNNNNNNNNNNNNNNNNNNNNNNNNNNNNNNNNNNNNNNNNNNNNNNNNNNNNNNNNNNNNNNNNNNNNNNNNNNNNNNNNNNNNNNNNNNNNNNNNNNNNNNNNNNNNNNNNNNNNNNNNNNNNNNNNNNNNNNNNCUUUAGUAGUUAAUUUUGGUGAUCGAUUUUAAUAUAAUGUACACUUAACAUGAUUGAUAUAUUAAUUAGAUGAGUGUAUAAUUUUUUUUAUUUGAUAAUAAAUACAAAUUAAAUCAUUAUUUUAAUUGUUAUUUUAAUUUGGUGUGUUCUUGUAGAUGUAUAGAACAGUGAAGAGCACUGACAAAAGCACAGGUAUAAUUUCAUGAAUUUGUGUGUGAUCCUUCUCAAAGGGACCCCAUAUAUAAAAUAUUUUCUUCAUAUCUUCCAAUACUAUCAUUAUUGUUAUUCUCUUUGCUUGUGAUCUUUAGUGUGGCAGAGAAACUCCAUGAUUUUUUUACCCCUCUCUAGAUAAGUAGCAUAGUACUAUAUAGUAGUGUUUCCCCUUAAAAACAAAAGGUGGUUUUGGAAGGGACAUAUAUAUUAUAGGACUGGCACUUCAAUUAGUUCUCAUGUGAAUUAUUGAUAAGCUUUAAUUUGUAUGUGUCUGAUAAAGCAAGUGCAUUGGCUUUUAAUGUUGAUGGAAAAAUUUUCAGGUCAUGGCCAGACAGAUAUGGGUUUAAUCCCAAUGCCAAGGAUUAAUAAUGUUGCUCAUUUGCAUGCCAAUAAUGGAGUUUCAGCUUCUCAUGAUGAUAGACCAAAUAAUUUACCACAUCCACCACAAAAUUAUUCCCAAAGGUGAAUAAUAAUUAAUAUCUUGUUUGCCUAUUUUGUUUUUCAAAAAUAAUGUUAUGCACGUCUAAAAAAAUGUGUGUUUAUAUUUUAUAAACUUAUAUAAUAUCAUGUUUUCCUUUUUAAAAAAGGAAAAAAAAAAUUUCUAAGAAGAAUUUAAUUUGAUAGACUGUCAGUAUAAAAUCAUUUUACAUGUGUAUUCAAUCAGAUAAUGUCGUUUCAGCAAAAAUAACUAUCUUUUACAUUGAUCACGUGAAUGGUCAUUUAAAAAAAACGGUUGUGAUUACAUAAUUGUAUAAAAUAUUUUACACUGUUAAUGCAUCGAAAUUAAACUCUUUGACAUAAAUAAUAAACAUAAAAAUUAACAACUUUUACUUACUCAAUAAUAUUUAAUUUAAUAUUUGUGUAAUUUUUUUUUUUCAUAUUGCUAUUACAUAAAAAUACAUCAUUUUUUCCCAUAUAUAUGCCUUUGAUUUUAUUUUUAAGAUGUAUGUGCAAAUAACUCCAAUAAUGCUUAAGAAGACAAACAUUCUAAGUGUAGUAAAACAAAGCUAGAGAACAUUAUUAUACAUCACUUUUUGUUAAGCAUCUAAUUAAUAACGAUUUCUCAUCCUUGAUUGCCUCUUUAAUUUGGUCCAUGUUGACUUUACAAAUAAAUUAAUGUGAACAUAAAAGUAUAUAAAACUCUAGCAAGUGAAUUACCGCUAGCUAGGUUCAACUAGUAUACAUGCACAAAUAUUCACAAAUGCCUCGUGUUUGGUUUUUUCUCCCUUUAAUAGUAGUGUUUAUUGUUUUCAACUUAUGUUUAAUUUGCCUUUGUUCUUAUCUUUUUGAUUUCGGGGUUCAAAGUUCAAACUCCAAAAUUAAUGACGAGAAACUCUACCAAUACAUAGAUUUUGACGUGCAAUAACCUAGGUUUUAAUUUAAUUUAAUUUAUUUUAUUUUUUUCCCCAUAGGUUUGUGGGUGGUCAUUUUCUAUAUGUGAGCCCUAAUGAUGCUUUUUUACAUUUGAUCGUCAAUGUAUUGAUUCCAAUGUGUCUAUCAAAAAAGUCUAACAAUUGAUCCAAAUCUCAAUGUGUUAUAUUUAUUAGUACAAUUAUUUUCCUUUUUAUUUUAAUAUAUUAGAUAAAAUUUAUUUUUUGUCCUUAAAAUUUGACAAAAAAUUUAAAAAUAUUUUUAAAUUUUAUUUUGUUUAAAUUUUGUUUUAAAAAUUUUCAAUUUGCAUCAAAUAUAUUUUUUAUGGCUAAAUUUUCAAAAAAUUUAAGUCCAACCUAACAAUAAUACAUGAAAAUUAUGCUUGAUUUGUUUGUAUUAAGAGUUGUUCUUAUAAAAUUGUUGUUGAAUUGGUUUUUAAUUUUUUAAAAAAUUAGCUGUGAGAAAUAUAUUUGAUGCAAUUUGAAAAUUUUUGGGACAAAAUUAAAAUAAACUAAAAUUUAAAAAUAUUUUUAAAUUUUUUAUCAAAUUUCAGAGACAAAAUCAUUGCCAAGGAUUGUGUGUGGUUUAUUUACUCGUUAAUUUUUUCAGAGGAAUUAUUAGUAAACAUCCUCCAUGCAUGCUAUGAAAUAUGAAUGAAGGACAUUAUAUUGGAUAAAUUCAUGUUUUGCAUUCACUUGCUUAGCAUAAUUUAAUUUGAUUUUCUAACAUAUAUUAAUAUUCCAUUAAAAAUUUUAACAUAUUGUUUUUCUUCCCAAUAAAAGUUUUAUUUUGGGAAAUUGAUGCUAACAUUAUUUAGAUGUUGACCUCUAUAAUUAUUGCUACUAUCUAACCAUUAAAAACCUAUCUAUAAUAAAGUGUUAGCAAUGCCAUUUAAUUAUACUAUACAUACAGAUUUGGAUAAUUUUGAAUAAUUUGGAGUAUUGCUUUAAUUUGGUUACCUAAUUAUCUGAUGAAUUGAGUUCUAAAUUGGAGUAACAGUUUGAUUUGUUGGUUUAUAACAAGUUUUACUAUGUAUACUAAUACUAAUAAUAAUGUUAUGAACUCAAAAUCAGGUCAUGGCAAUCAUCAAUAAUGGAGGCAAAUACAAACAAUAGUAGACAAAAACCCCAAAUUGGUUUGACGGAUUCUCAUACAAAGGGAUAUGAAACCAUGGUAAGUUGAGACAAAUUGGGUCAGAAACUGGACCUUUCAUGUGGCUUCUAGUGUUGCUAUACCUUUCAUUACAUGUGUUAUUUUUUAUUUUAAUUAUUAUUAUAUAUAUACUUGGUGAUAAAUCUUAAAUAAAAAAUAAUGCUAUAUAUUAUUACUCUUUCUUAUAUCAUUAAUUAAUGGGCAAAGUAUAUUUUUUGUCUUUGAAGUUUGGCAAAAGUUUUAAAAAUACCCCUAAAUUUUAUUUUGUUUUAAUUUUGUCCCAAAAGUUUUCGAUUUGCAUCAAAUAUAUCAUCGACGGAUGAAUUUUCAAAAAAAUUAAGACUAAUCUAACAAUAAUGCAUGAAAAUUAUGCUUGAUUUGCUUGUGUUGAGAGGUUGUUCUUAUGAAAUUGUUGUUGAAUCGGUCUUAAAUUUGUUGAAAAAUUAGUCAUUAGAGGUAUAUUUGAUCAAAUAAAAAACUUUUGGGAUAAAAUUAAAACAAAAUAAAACUUAAGGGUAUUUUUGAAACUUUUGUCAAACUUUAGGAACAAAAAAUAUACUUUACCCUUAAUUAUUAUUCAAUUUUAAUUAAAUGUGUAUAUAAAUUAAAAAGUAAUUCAAAAAUGUUGAAGUGAUAAUAAACAAAAAACUGUUUUGGAUAAUAGGAUUGUCAAAAUGGGUUAUAUAAAGUUACUAUAUAUUAAUUAGAAAAUAAUGUUACCCAAUUUUACUUAACUAGAAAGUUAUUUUUGUGAAAAAUUGAAAUUUUAGAGAUAAAUGAUAACUUCAUAUUGGAGGGAGUUCUUAACUAGAUAUUUUAUGUGUGAUGAUAUAAAAUUGGACAUGUAUAAAUAUUGAUUAUUAAACUAAUAUAUAGAUAUUAUGUUAAAUAGGUGGAAGAGCACAAUUGUGGGGGCAUGUCUAAUUGCAUGAAGGAGAAUAAGUUGGAUUCUACUCCAUUGUCAAGUUCUGAUGAGUUGAUGCUUGAUCUUGAAUUCACCCUUGGAAGGCCAAAUUGGGAAAAGGAACAUCAAAAGGAGUCAUCAAGAGUAGAAUUAACCCUUCUCAAAUGUUAAUCAAUUAAUUAAUUGACUAAUCACUAAUUAAUUUCCUUGUCACUAAAAAAAUAGUAGUAGUACUACUACAACAACAACUAGCUUACAUAUAUUAUGAUGAUGAAGCUAAGUAAUUAUUAUUGUUCCAUGUGAAUUACUAAUGAUUUUGUAUUGAUAGUACAUCAUCCCCCUUUUUUUUUUUUUUAUAAAUUUUAGAAAGAGAGAGAUAGAUGCAUGGAACUAAAUGGGAUAAUAAAAUGUUGCUACAAAACAUAUGCUUGAGUCCAAAGAGUUUCAUGUCUUGUCUUUGAUGUCAUUUUCAGUGCCAAGAGUGUAAGAAUAAAAAGGAAGAAGAGAAGGCCAUGGACCAUGGCUUAUACUUAGGCAAAAGAGAUCAGAGGACCCAUUUGGGAAUUUUUAUUUUGGACAUGUGGGUAAAGUUUUAUGCCACACUAUCAUCACAAUAUUGUUCUCAUCAUAUUAUCUCUACCAAGGAAAAUUAUCACCAAUUUUUAUGUUAGUGACAAAAAAAAUAGAAUUUAUUUAAAGGGAAAGAAAUUAAAGGGAUCUAUACACCUCAAAAAAAAAUAGUCCGUGCAAUAUUUUCAAUCUUUUUUUCUCGUGAAAACUCAGGUGCAAUCGACUUCACGUGAAGUUGAUAGUUGAGAGCCGUUAGAUGAAAAUUUAGUCAAAUCUGUCAAAUCAUCUAACGACUAUCAGCUAUCAAUUUCACAUGAAGUCGACUGUACCUGAGUUUCCACUUUUUUUUCUUAUCUUAAAAUCUCACUACUUAUCUUCUUAGAAGGAGUAGCCCUAAACUAAAAAUUCUUUUUUGUAUUUAUUUUGUUGAAUUAUGAUUAAGAAUUCGAAUUCAUCUUUUUAAUUAUCCUUCUAAUACUAAAAUGAGAAAAAACUUAAAUAUGUGUGUUAUUUUUUUAAAAAAUAAAAAUAUAAAAAAUUUAAAACCUUAUUUUUCUAUUUAACAUAAAUUAAAACUCUCAACACUUUUUCAGUUUUUCUUCUUUCUUUCUUUUUUUCGGAACCUUCAUCCUUUGGAUAUUUUUCAUUGCUUAUUUCUAUCUUCUAUGAGUUGGCCCAUUAAAUACUUUGUAGUGGGCCUAAUAAGUCGUAUUUUGUUGAUUUAUACACUUUCAUAAGCUCUACAAAAUGGCCCACAAUUGGUAUAUGAAAAUAAAUAACAUGAUUUAUACACAAAAUAUUCGACACUUACAUAAAAAGUAUAGUUAUUAAUUAGUUAUAUAUUUAAAUUAUUUUUUAAAUAAAAAUAAAAAUAUGUGUUAAUUGUUAAAAAUAUUAAAAUUAAAAUAGUAUCUAUUAUAAAAAUAACAAGAAUGAAAAAAAUCAUACAAAUCGAAAUUAUGUAUUUUUGCCACAUCAUUGAACUGAUAAUGGAAAGAAAAAAGACAAAGAAUUACUCCAUUAAUUCAUUAACAACCCUCUAUUUACUGAAAAAAAGUAAAUAUAUAUAAAAUUAGUGGUUGACUUUAGACAGACACUUUUUAAUUUAAAUAUGGAAGGAGGAAUGGUGUAGGACACAGUUAUGAAGUGUAUGACUGUUUUGCGUAAGUGUGGUGUCAAGAGCAAAUCGGACCCUCCGAUUUGUAUUUGAAAAAUUAAAAAAAGUUGCAUUACACAAAGCGGACCGUCCGAUUUGUAUUUUAAACAAUUAAAAAUAAUUGCAUUACACAAAUCGGACCGUCCGAUUUGUAUUUUAAAUGAUUAAAAAAAAUUUAAUAAUAAAAUCGGACCAUCCUAUUUUUGUUUUCAAAAUAAAAAAAAAUUAAAAAUACAAAUCGGACCCUCCGAUUUUCUCUCUUACACAAAUCGGACCAUUCGAUUUGUGUUCAUAAUUUUUUUAACAAAGAAAUCGGACAGUUCAAUUUUUUCACUUUAUGGUUCAAAAAAAAUUAUCUCACAUUCAUGGCUAGCACCACCCACCUUUAUACCCAUGCACAACACACACAGAAUUUGCAUAUCCAAAAAAAUGAGCCGACAGACAGAUUCAUUUAUUUAAAUUUAAAUAAAAUAAUAAUAUGCUUGAGUACUUAGAUCACGUCAAAAUUGUGAUUUUAUACAUACGGUACAAAAUUCAACUUGCGUACAUUUAAAUUUAAUCGUUAUCAUCCUCAUUCAUCAUCAUGACGAAUCUGAAUUCUCUUAUAAUUCAUAGAUGAUUUUUGUCAAAAGAUAAAUAAUGUCUGCGCACUCCAUGAUUAUUAUUUUUUGUGCCUGUGCUUUUCAGUUUUCACAGACAAUGAGUUGGAACCCAGAAAUUUCUCUGCACCGUGACACUUCAUAAAUUUCGGUACUACGUAACAUCACAUCAUCACCAUUCUGCUAAAUUUUUGUCUCUUAUUGCUCAUAAAGUUUUAUACUACAAAAAAAAAUUUAAUAUUUUUUUUAGAAUUUAUUUAUAUUGUGCCUUAAAAAUACAUGUUAAAAUUAUAAAAAAAAGUUUGUUUUUAAAAUAUAAAAAAUUUAAAUUUUUAAUAUAUUUAUUUUAUAUUUAUUAAAUAAAAAUAUUUAAAUUUUUUUAUAAAUAUUAAAUUUGUNNNNNNNNNNNNNNNNNNNNNNNNNNNNNNNNNNNNNNNNNNNNNNNNNNNNNNNNNNNNNNNNNNNNNNNNNNNNNNNNNNNNNNNNNNNNNNNNNNNNNNNNNNNNNNNNNNNNNNNNNNNNNNNNNNNNNNNNNNNNNNNNNNNNNNNNNNNNNNNNNNNNNNNNNNNNNNNNNNNNNNNNNNNNNNNNNNNNNNNNNNNNNNNNNNNNNNNNNNNNNNNNNNNNNNNNNNNNNNNNNNNNNNNNNNNNNNNNNNNNNNNNNNNNNNNNNNNNNNNNNNNNNNNNNNNNNNNNNNNNNNNNNNNNNNNNNNNNNNNNNNNNNNNNNNNNNNNNNNNNNNNNNNNNNNNNNNNNNNNNNNNNNNNNNNNNNNNNNNNNNNNNNNNNNNNNNNNNNNNNNNNNNNNNNNNNNNNNNNNNNNNNNNNNNNNNNNNNNNNNNNNNNNNNNNNNNNNNNNNNNNNNNNNNNNNNNNNNNNNNNNNNNNNNNNNNNNNNNNNNNNNNNNNNNNNNNNNNNNNNNNNNNNNNNNNNNNNNNNNNNNNNNNNNNNNNNNNNNNNNNNNNNNNNNNNNNNNNNNNNNNNNNNNNNNNNNNNNNNNNNNNNNNNNNNNNNNNNNNNNNNNNNNNNNNNNNNNNNNNNNNNNNNNNNNNNNNNNNNNNNUAUUAUCAAUACAAAAGGAUAUAUUAUCCGCUCCUAUAAUUUUAAAAAAUAUUAUAAAAUAUAAUAACUAAAUAUUAUACCAAAACUUUACUAAUAACUAAAAAAAUAAACUACACAUGUUAGCUAAACUUUUUUCUUUAUUCACCCGUAUAUUCUGCUGCUAAGGUUAACAAUUAUAGGAACAAAAUAAUUGUUUGGCAGAAUUUGUUGAUGUUAGUCAACAAAUUUAUGACCUUGCUACAUGAUUUAUUUUUGGCCAAUAUUAUAGUGCUGAAAGAAAAAAUUUUCAGUUGAUGCUGAAAGAAUUUACCUUGUUGGUAAAGUUCUAGAUGACUCUGCAACUAUAGAGAGUGGUACAUGAGAUAAUUAAUUAGAUGAUCUUAGCUAAUUUUAAUAUACACGUAAUAUAGUCCCACCUUUAUUGAGGAAACAAUUGGCAAUUAAAUUAUGGCCUUUUAGCUGAUUUUAAAGAUGUAUUAUUAGUUUAUUGCAUAGUUUUAGACUUUGGUUACAUCUAAAAGCAUAUGCACUUAUUAUGAUUUAUUUGUUUUCUUUUUUAUUUAUGUUUUUAUUAAAAAGAAAUUGUAGUGGAGGAAGAAUUUCUUAGUUACAUAUACUAAAGGUUGAUUUUGAAAUAUAUAUUAUUAUUCUUUAAAUCUAAGUGCACAUUAAAAUUAGACAAAUUACAAUGGGAAGAGCCCACAGAAUAUAUAUCAAAGUCCAAUGCAAAUAAUUUAAGAGAGUAAAAGGAGAUAAACCCUAAGGAGUUCUUAAUAAUUUUUUUUUAAUUCAUGAAAAUCAAGGAACCUGCUGCAAAGUACAAAAAAUUCAGCUAAAAUAUCUCCAAGACACUUGGAGGGGAAAAAAUAAAAAAUAUCUCACCUUCAAAUAUAUAUAAUAUCUAAUAUCUAAUAUCUAAAGUAUAUUUUGGAUUAUUUACAAUGGAUAGUUUUUUCUUUUUUUUUUAUUUUUUAUUUUAUAUUUUUUUCAUUAGAANNNNNNNNNNNNNNNNNNNNNNNNNNNNNNNNNNNNNNNNNNNNNNNNNNNNNNNNNNNNNNNNNNNNNNNNNNNNNNNNNNNNNNNNNNNNNACAGAAGAGGGUGGUCUUUCUAACUGCUAAAUUAGACAAAAAAAAAAAAUUUUGGAGAAACACUACUAUAAGAAUAAGAAAGCUGUCACUUCAAAUAAGUUUUCUUCAAUAUUAACCUUUCUCAAUUUUGGCUAACAUGUAGUUUAUAAUUUAAAUUUUUAGGGUGUGCAAUUUGAAACUUAACAAUGAUCAAAUAAUACAAAAAAGAAACUAAUGUUAACUUUUCUUUCAAAAUUAUUCAAAUAAAAAAAAUUAACAGAAGGGUUUUUAUUUGUAUCUUAAUUAACAAUUUUAAAGUGUCAAAUUGUCCGUUAAGAAACGUAAAAUGCCAUUAAAUUGAAGCAUUCUAAUAAACAUCUGCAAUGCUGAUUUGUGAAGCAACGACUGGAUCAAACCAAAAUUUGUUCCUCAAGAAUCCAAAGAAAUCAGGAGUUUUCAAAAGAUCAUAAAGCUCUGGGAUUAAUAUCCCUCCCUACAUAAACCAAUAAAAUUGCUAUGAAUAUUUUGAGUACUAGCUAACUCCAAAAGUCAUUACAUUUGACUAUAGAGAUCAAGAUUGUCCCAAUCUAAUUGAUAAUAAAAAGUAAAAUAAAAUAAAACAUAAUUAAAAAACGAGUGUGAAAUUGGAAAAGUUGUUGAAUAACCUCAAUCCUCAUCAUAAGAGAGACAAAAAAGUAACUCGUCUUAAAACUAUGUGAUAAGAAUAAUACAACCUAAUCUACUCUGUUCAAGAAAACAUAUUCCUAACAGCAACAUUUAUGCUACGGUAGUCUUCCCUUUAAUGUCUUGGUCUACAGCAGCAAACCUGUCCACAAUGGAUAGGGUCAUGAAUUAAUUGAGACAUUAUAAUAAUAGAAAGAACAGUAAGAAGAGAAAGGUGCAUGCUUACACAUAGUACUUCAGAUGGGGACCAACUUUAAGAUUACCCUUAGAUUCAACCUUAGCAGAAAAAUUACCCUCGGUUUGGAGCUUGACUCUGGCAUAAGGAACAAUGGUAAUAUAUUGAUUUGGACGGUCUAUAUCCCUUUUAAUAUCCAUUUGAUCUGUACUAGUAAAGACAUAGAUCAGACUUUCUUUGCUUGUGUGGUGACAACAAAAAACGUUAGACACCAUCCCCAUCUCAUCCAAAUCAUUCACAUGCACAACUGCCACGGGUUUCUUCUUAGACAAGUCAUAGAUGCACCAAAUAGAUACAACAUCAAUAAUAAGAAGAAAAUCACUGCAACCCAGACGAACGAGUUUCCUACCAGCUUUGUAAUCACAAAACGGCGGAAAAUUGCACUCAAUGGGGCUCCAAAUGUUGGCAUUCAAAUCAUAUGACAUGAGCCAUUGAUUCACAUCAUCAAAAGAAUACAACACAAUGAGGGUUUCCCACAAAAAGUAAGAGUGAGGAUUCAAGCGCAUGCCGGGCACUUCCCUCUUUUCCCAAAAUUCUGAUUUUAGGUUGUAGAUAUCAACCCAAUAAUCACCAAUGCAGCACAAUUUGCCAUCGUAUGGAAUUAUUAUGGGGCGCAAUUGGUGGGGGAAAAGGAUGGUUCUGCAUAAACUCCAAAUCCAAGUAUGACCAUCAUACUUGAGGCACCAAAUGUUUCUAGCGCCAUCAAAAUCCAGUUGCCUUUCAAUAUCCUUAUCCCGGUCACCAAGAAAGAACAAGCUGAGACCAACGGAACAACAAAAUUUUUCAGAUAAUGGUAAACUAGAAUCGCUUGUUCCACCAUGUGGAAGAGGCCAUUUGACAGUUACAGGACCUCCGUCUUCAAGAUCAACAGUUCCAUUCUUCAUGAAGUUGGCCUCACUGAUAGUUAACAUCCUGCGCCUGUAGGUUCUACUUCUAAAUCCAUCAUACAGAUUUUCCACCAACAUAUAUAUGCGUUUUGGAUCACAACAACCAGCAUCAUCCUGUAACUAAGAAAACAAUCAUAAUAUUUAGGAGAAAAAUAGAUCACCAGUUUAAAACAAUUAUCUAUCAAAUAGAAAGCAUUUCAGUAGUGUAAGUAUUGAUAAUAAAUCGUACCCUGGCUAUCGUCAAACCCUUAAAUGAAGGUUAAAUUCACAGAGAGAUGGGAUAUGAAACCAAAAAUUAUAUACAUGUAACAUAUAAAGGAUAAGAGCAUGCAGAAAUCUACCUCAGGUUCAGAUUCCCUGCACAUGCCAUUAGCAACUUCUCCCGAAACCGUCGCAACAAUGCUUCCCCACCACUCUUCAAAAUCAGAACCGUAUUGAACAUGAUCCAAAUCCCUAAUAUGAUUGACGGCCUUAGCCAUCAAAUUCUUACCAUCCCUUUUGCCCACCACAAAUGCAGUGAAAUCGCAAGUCUUCACAACAACCGCUCCGAUCCCAAAGCUCUCCGCGUUUUUCAAGAGCCAACUAGCGAAGUCCUUUGCUCCUUUGCUGUUGUCGGCGAACGGUAGGGGAGGUUGGUUAUGCGAAGUUGAAUGAAGGAGGAGGAUGAGGUUCUCCUUGGGUAGGUCUUCGGGAUCGUAAGUCCGAGCAUCUACGACCUCCAAAACGAGGCCUUUCGACUCUAACAAAUCGCAGAGGCUCUUCGCUAGGGCUUCUGCAGUUGAAAAUCCGAUUUGCGAAACGAACAGGAUCUUGCCACGAGGAUUGCGUUUGGGUUGCUCUUGAUGGAGUGUUAUGAGAUUCUCUUUGUGCGGGCGGAGGAGGUGAGACUUGUAGAUUGAGAAGAAGGAUGCGGCAGUGACCGUGGCGGCGGCCACGCUGGACAGGAUAGCGGAUACCGAUACAUCCGCCGGUAACGAAGGCAACCAAAGGAGCAUUAUUGGCUACAAGCUCAAUUUUGAUGCAGCCAUCGAAGAAGGUGGCGCUGGGGUAGUGAUUCGAUGUUCUUCUUCUUGAGAGAGUACAAGAGCUAAUGGAAUAUCUGUACAAUGUGUAUAAUGAAGUUUAAGAAGGUUCGAUUUAAUAGAUAUUAGAUGUUUAUUAUUCCAGAUAUCGGAUGGUUAUUCUAAAUAAUAUAGGUAUAUUGUGUUUAAAAAAUUAAUAAUAUUUUACCCUAAUGUUUAUUGAAUAAUCUUAUGAUAGUUCCUCAAAUUUCACCUAACCUUCUUAGUAUUUCUAAAUUUGCAGCUGACAAUUUAAUUUUUUUUUUUUUUAGUUUUGGCCUAAUGCCUUGUUCGCAAUCAGGUUACCAAGAACCUUCUUCUACAAGGAAUAACUAAAAAUGGCAAUUAUGUGUUUUCACAUUUGUUUGUGAGGAUUGAUAGGCCAGUAAUUUUAGUGUUUUAUAAUCAUCAAUUGACCAUCAAUAAUAUUUUUAAUGGUGUGAGAUUACAUCUAUACAUCAGUCUAAGCAUUACCCUAUUAAGUGGCGUUGGUGAAACUUAAACCAUCCGAAUAGUAACAGCUGCUCUUUCUUGAGAAUUAGGUUCUUUGCAAAUGUUUAUUUCAAUUUGAAUUAGUAUUUUAGCUGUUUAAUGAUAUGAUACCUUACUGUUGCUCAUAUUAACAGAUGCAGAUGCACAUCCUGAACCUGCUUCCGCGGGUAAAAGUGAGGGUGGGAAUUAUGAAUUAUGUCUCACAGAGGAGGCCUGUCACUGAAGAAGAGAUGAAUAGUACCCUUCAGAUGGCUAAGGCAACAUGUACCGAUGACAGCCUCUGGUGUUGUCAUGCGACCAACGCAUGUUUAUAAGAGAUUCUUCGUGGUAAUAAUUUGCCUCCUCAGCUUUCCUUGUUAGGAUUUGUUUUUGGUUUAGGUUCUAAUGUGCCAUGAGUUUUUGCUUUCAGUUUUAUCCCAAUACUAAACCGGUUAUUUAAACUUUGGUCUUAAUAUAUACUAUCCUGAGUAGCCUUCUUUUCUUGUGAAACUUGGGCCUCUUUUUUUCUGUUUUCACUUUUUAUUUUUUAAUGUUUUUGGUUUUCAAGGUUUUGUGAAGGGAAAUAUGAAACAAAAGAUAUGAUUUAUCAUUUUCAUUGAAUUCAGCUUUUUUUUUCUCCAACAAUUUCUGAAAAACAAAGGGGAAAAAAUGAAAUGAAAACAGAUUCCAAUCAGACCUGGGUGCGAUUGGUUUUUACUCUAUCUAUUGCUCCUAAACUAAUUGUUUUAUCUUUUGUUGUUACCAGUAGCUCCCGAAUAAGUGGACCCUAGAAACACCGGAGGACUGAGCGGAGGGUGGAAACGCUUUACCCUGGAUAACAACCUGGAAGAGUACGACGUGUGUGUUUUCAAACCCGGAGGCCUGAUGAACAACACAUUGAUCUUGGAUGUCAACAUUUUCAGAGUUGUUGAGGAGAUUAAGCCUUUGACACAAGUGAGAGCUGCAGGAUCAGCCAAAAAGAGUGGUAACUGGUAAGAAAAAGGCCUUAAAGGCCAUCCAAAUAUAAUAGAACCUCUCUUGUUAUCCCAUCUUUGUGGAUAUUUCGUGUUAUCUUGAAUUAGUGUAAUUUAUUGUUGGAAGUGUAAUGUACCUUAAAACAGGUCAGAACUUAGUAGUCUUAUGGCAGAGACAUAGUUCCUCAUGAUGUGUGUAUUGUAUGCUAUUCUCGGAUUGUGUUAACUUCUAUGUGUCUUCUAAUGGUAAUUUAGUGUUAAUCCUCUCUAUUGCAGCACCCUUUGUAGGCC